Gasterosteus aculeatus aculeatus (three-spined stickleback) is the source of this 2074-nucleotide long non-coding RNA. Lineage: Eukaryota; Metazoa; Chordata; Actinopteri; Perciformes; Gasterosteidae. The record is from Ensembl.
UUAGGAGUGGGGACAAAGACUUGUACACAGAGGCAAAAUACAAGUUUAUUAAGGCGGUGAGAGAUGCUAAACGACUGUACUCUGAGAAACUCCAACAACAGUUCUCAGCAAGUGACUCUGCUUCGGUCUGGAGAGGCCUCAAACACCUCACCAACUACAAGCCAAAAACCCCCCACUCCAUGAAUGACCUCCGCCUGGCAGACGAGCUGAACGAGUUCGACUGCAGUUUCAAAAGACACUCUGUGUGUUUACAUGAUGGUAUAAUUGGAAUCUUUGCUUAGUCGGACUAUGCUCUCUUUCGGGGGGAGGUGCUAUUAUCCCAAUAUACAUGGCAGUGAAUAAAUCGAAUUAUUGGCCGAAAGCAUGUCAUAUCCGAUACGAUAGGUGGCGAUGUUUUCAUUACAGCUAGUUGUGAUACAGCCAUUUCCGGUUGACCGCUUCACCACUACCAACAACAACAACAACAACAACAACAACAUCAACAUUGUGAGAAAGAUGGCGAGCGGAGAGCAAGGUGAAGCUACAUCCCUCUACUAUCUGCAUGAUGUUAAUAGGAGCACAGCGAAUGCGAAUGGCGCUAUUGGCUGAUUUGAUAACGGAGAGAAGACGCCGUCGGGAUCUCAAGCAUGCGCAAAGACGCAAAGUCCAGUUCCUCAUCUGAUUCACCGUUACAUGCCGCAAUAGUCGAACUAUCACCUGGAUCGGAUCGAGUUAUCCAGGGGUGUCAGUCGGAUCGUAGUCGGACCGGACAUAGUCGGACAAAAGUGUUUACAUGAAACGGAUCAUUUGAUUUCAGUCCGACUAAGCGAGUUAUUCGAAUCCAUGUAACCACGCUGAAUGUCCUGAUCCCAUCCCCCACAGCUCCACCAACCUGCUGCAGUCCCCCACCCCUCCCUCCCCCAGCCCAUCAGGGGCUCACGCCUCUUCAUCUAUAUCACCUUCCCCUUCCCUCAGCCUCUCGGACCAUCAGCACCGGUUCCCCCCAAGGAUGCGUUCUUUCCCCUCUGCUCUUCUCCCUGUACACCAACAGCUGCACCUCCAGUCACCAGUCCGUCAAGCUCCUGAAGUUUGCGGAUGACACCACCCUCAUUGGACUGAUCUCUGGUGGGGACGAGUCCGCCUACAGGUGGAGUCUGACCAUCUGGUGUCGUGGUGCAGCCAGAACAACCUGGAGCUCAACGCUUUAAAGACAGUGGAGAUGGUUGUGGAUUUCCGGCGGAACAGAGUCCCACCCUCCCCCAUCACCCUGUGUGACUCCCCCGUCACUAUUGUGGAUUCCUUUCGUUUCCUGGGCUACAUCAUCACCCAGGACCUCAAGUGGCAGCUGAACAUCAGCUCCAUCACCAAGAAGGCUCAGCAGAGUGAAUAUGGAUUGGUGAUGUCAGUGAGGUAUUUCACAUUCAUUUGUGGUGUGAAAACAUGGCAGGUCUCCCUGCUCGAUGUCGCACCGUCUCAUUCAUUCACUUGGCUCAUGACGUCCACAUGAAUGUUCGUCUUUGGCUAAAAAGUGCCCUAAAUCGGUUGGGAAAGCUCGCAUUGCCUGAAACUGCUCAUUACCGGCGUUUCCGCGCUGUUUUUAGUCUGAAAUGACAACCAACGGUCGCACAAAGUCCAGGUGUUAUUUAGAUCACCGCACUGAUAUGAACGCUCAGGUCGAUGUAAACAGGUAACAUUACAUUAUGGCUCAAUUCAGUGCACCUCGUGACUCACUCUCCACCAAUCAGAGCGCUUGAUUUCACCCGUAUUAUAAAAGAAUAUACGAUACGGGACAUGAAACAUAACCAGUAGUCCAAGUGCAAGCAGCCAGUUGAUGGUGAAUUUAUGCUACUUUGUUGAAUUCAUAUGUUUGUGAAUGUGACUUUGAAAGAGUCAGAGCCUCCAGCCACCAACCUCACCGCACGUCACUGCCAGCAGCUCUGUGAAAGGUCCAAUGUCUAGUUUCAGAAGAUCUAAGGAGACUUCUACAGGUCAGAGGACCGUCUGAAGAGCUUUGCAGUACUUUCAUUACAAUUUGUAUUUUCGAUGCAGAGGUCUGCAGACGUUGUUUUUCUGACCCACAGUAAGAAGUAAAAAC